UUUCCGAAGGCGCCCAGAGCCGGGCACGCGAGAGAAGGUGGCCGUCCACACGGAGCCCGGUGCCCGCCGCGCUGUAACGGAGGCUGCGUGCUGAGAACAGUGGCUGUUAUCUGAGUCAGGCCGACCGCUCUCUCGGGACUAUGGGCCAGGAAAUGGCGGGAGAGCAGUCCGGAGGAGAUACGCGUACAGGAACACAGAGGCGGAAGCCAUGUUGACCAGAGAAGGCAGUUAGCCCCUAGGACUGCUUCUGUCCCCAGCGUGCUUUUUCAGUUCCGGUUAUCCACACGUUUCCUUCCAAUGAGCGCUUGCCACCCAGGGUGCCCUGGUUACGCCUCUGUCCCUUGCUAACCCAGCGUGGGUGGGACUUUUCUUCCUCAUUUCAAACCAUAAAAGACACGUCUCUCUAGACUGGAGAUGGAAUGUCUGGCAGAAUGUAACCCAUAUCCCACAUGGCAGCAGCUGGUAAGAGCCGCGUGGCCUAUGGGCUCUUUGGAUCAGGCAUGCGCAAUUCUUACUUACACGCCCUGACUUCUGUCAACACUGGAAUUUACAAACCUCAACGCUCAAUGCUCUACCUAUAUUAAUUAAGUUUUUACCCACAACCUA
Molecule: non-coding RNA, 606 nt
Organism: Odocoileus virginianus texanus
Lineage: Eukaryota; Metazoa; Chordata; Mammalia; Artiodactyla; Cervidae
Source: RefSeq, a predicted model, not a curated record